UUUCCGUAGGUGAACCUGCGGAAGGAUCAUUAUCGAAAUACUUAUUUAGCGUUCCGUGCUAUCCCAUUGUUUUAUUUACCCUGUUGCUUCCACUGGAUGAGUUUCCAUACCUUGUGUUUGAGAAACUUUGGCUUGUGUAAGAUUCAUUCACGGCCAGCCAGUGAGAAGACCAUUUACAAAACCCUGUUAAGAACCAAUUGUCUGAAUAUUUUACUCCAAUGAAAUAAAACUUUCAACAACGGAUCUCUAGGCUCUUGCAUCGAUGAGAACGCAGC
This 275-nucleotide unclassified non-coding RNA is filed under the name plant metagenome. RNAcentral's name for it is "partial contains small subunit ribosomal RNA, internal transcribed spacer 1, and 5.8S ribosomal RNA". The stretch from base 228 to 275 matches the Rfam family "5.8S ribosomal RNA", at positions 1 to 49 of the family's 154-position model. The record is from RNAcentral.